CUUGGUCAUUUAGAGGAAGUAAAAGUCGUAACAAGGUCUCCGUAGGUGAACCUGCGGAGGGAUCAUUACAAGUGACCCCGGUCUAACCACCGGGAUGUUCAUAACCCUUUGUUGUCCGACUCUGUUGCCUCCGGGGCGACCCUGCCUCCGGGCGGGGGCUCCGGGUGGACACUUCAAACUCUUGCGUAACUUUGCAGUCUGAGUAAACUUAAUUAAUAAAUUAAAACUUUUAACAACGGAUCUCUUGGUUCUGGCAUCGAUGAAGAACGCAGCGAAAUGCGAUAAGUAAUGUGAAUUGCAGAAUUCAGUGAAUCAUCGAAUCUUUGAACGCACAUUGCGCCCCCUGGUAUUCCGGGGGGCAUGCCUGUUCGAGCGUCAUUUCACCACUCAAGCCUCGCUUGGUAUUGGGCAACGCGGUCCGCCGCGUGCCUCAAAUCGACCGGCUGGGUCUUCUGUCCCCUAAGCGUUGUGGAAACUAUUCGCUAAAGGGUGUUCGGGAGGCUACGCCGUAAAACAACCCCAUUUCUAAGGUUGACCUCGGAUCAGGUAGGGAUACCCGCUGAACUUAAGCAUAUCAAUAAGCGGAGGA
RNAcentral lists this ribosomal RNA (589 nucleotides) under uncultured fungus. Its description in RNAcentral is "eukaryotic LSU rRNA". The stretch from base 225 to 378 matches the Rfam family "5.8S ribosomal RNA". The record is from RNAcentral. Lineage: Eukaryota; Fungi.